Molecule: transfer RNA, 72 nt
Filed under: Hordeum vulgare
Lineage: Eukaryota; Viridiplantae; Streptophyta; Magnoliopsida; Poales; Poaceae
Also listed under: 1 other name
Description: tRNA-OTHER
Rfam family: tRNA
About the family: Transfer RNA (tRNA) molecules are approximately 80 nucleotides in length. Their secondary structure includes four short double-helical elements and three loops (D, anti-codon, and T loops). Further hydrogen bonds mediate the characteristic L-shaped molecular structure. tRNAs have two regions of fundamental functional importance: the anti-codon, which is responsible for specific mRNA codon recognition, and the 3' end, to which the tRNAs corresponding amino acid is attached (by aminoacyl-tRNA synthetases). tRNAs cope with the degeneracy of the genetic code in two manners: having more than one tRNA (with a specific anti-codon) for a particular amino acid; and 'wobble' base-pairing, i.e. permitting non-standard base-pairing at the 3rd anti-codon position.
Source: RNAcentral
GUGGUUGUAGUUUAGUGGUGAGAAUUUCGGAUUAUGGUCGUGGAGACCUAGGCUUGAAUCCGAGCAUCCACA